CUCGCAGAUGAACGCUGGCGGCGUGCCUAAUACAUGCAAGUCGAACGAGUUCUCGUUGAUGAUCGGUGCUUGCACCGAGAUUCAACAUGGAACGAGUGGCGGACGGGUGAGUAACACGUGGGUAACCUGCCCUUAAGUGGGGGAUAACAUUUGGAAACAGAUGCUAAUACCGCAUAGAUCCAAGAACCGCAUGGUUCUUGGCUGAAAGAUGGCGUAAGCUAUCGCUUUUGGAUGGACCCGCGGCGUAUUAGCUAGUUGGUGAGGUAAUGGCUCACCAAGGCGAUGAUACGUAGCCGAACUGAGAGGUUGAUCGGCCACAUUGGGACUGAGACACGGCCCAAACUCCUACGGGAGGCAGCAGUAGGGAAUCUUCCACAAUGGACGCAAGUCUGAUGGAGCAACGCCGCGUGAGUGAAGAAGGCUUUCGGGUCGUAAAACUCUGUUGUUGGAGAAGAAUGGUCGGCAGAGUAACUGUUGUCGGCGUGACGGUAUCCAACCAGAAAGCCACGGCUAACUACGUGCCAGCAGCCGCGGUAAUACGUAGGUGGCAAGCGUUAUCCGGAUUUAUUGGGCGUAAAGCGAGCGCAGGCGGUUUUUUAAGUCUGAUGUGAAAGCCCUCGGCUUAACCGAGGAAGCGCAUCGGAAACUGGGAAACUUGAGUGCAGAAGAGGACAGUGGAACUCCAUGUGUAGCGGUGAAAUGCGUAGAUAUAUGGAAGAACACCAGUGGCGAAGGCGGCUGUCUGGUCUGUAACUGACGCUGAGGCUCGAAAGCAUGGGUAGCGAACAGGAUUAGAUACCCUGGUAGUCCAUGCCGUAAACGAUGAAUGCUAGGUGUUGGAGGGUUUCCGCCCUUCAGUGCCGCAGCUAACGCAUUAAGCAUCCGC
Molecule: ribosomal RNA, 886 nt
Filed under: Lacticaseibacillus paracasei
Lineage: Bacteria; Bacillati; Bacillota; Bacilli; Lactobacillales; Lactobacillaceae
Description: bacterial SSU rRNA
Rfam family: Bacterial small subunit ribosomal RNA
Source: RNAcentral